UAAUACGUAGGUGGCGAGCGUUGUCCGGAAUUACUGGGCGUAAAGGGCGCGCAGGCGGUUCGUUAAGUCCAAGGUGAAAUCCCACGGCUCAACUGUGGGGGGACCCUGGAUACUGGCGGGCUGGAGUGCGGGAGAGGGAAGCGGAAUUCCACGUGUAACGGUGAAAUGUAUAGAUAUGUGGAGGAACACCGGUGGCGAAGGCGGCUUCCUGGACCGUAACUGACGCUGAGGCGCGAAAGCUGGGGGAGCGAACAGG
Molecule: ribosomal RNA, 256 nt
Filed under: uncultured bacterium
Lineage: Bacteria
Description: partial 16S ribosomal RNA
Rfam family: Bacterial small subunit ribosomal RNA
Source: RNAcentral